AUGAGAGGAGUUUCUUAUAAAAGCUUUCGAAUUCAGAUGUAACCCAGCAAUGCACUCAGACUCCUCUCUGCUGUGGAGAGCUUUUUUUUUUUUUUUUCAUAUUAAACUUUCACUCCAACUUUAUCUUUGUGUUUACAAUUCUUAAUUUUUUUGUCUUGGAUAAAGAACAAAAAACCUGGAGUACUUCUUCAGACAACAAGAAACUUCCAAAUUAAGGUGCAUUGGCAAGAAUGCAACAUAUUUUGAUCCAUUGGCUUGGAAGGAGGGAAUUCAUCAGAAGGGAAUCAAACUUGACUUACAAAGCAAAAAGGCCCUUGGAAAACUCACUGCAUAUUUUGUGUACACAGUCCCUGUACAUGGUUUCUGAUCUGUGGUAAGUAAAAAAAUUACUUUCUAGCAGGCUGGGAAGCCCAAGUUAUCUUGGUCCCUCAAGAGAAGAGAAAUUCUCCAACUAAUAGGUAUUGGACAGUAAAAAUCCAUGGCUGGGCUUCGCUUUAAAAAGGUCUUAUCUCAGAUUCCUUCUUUGAAACAAAGUGCCAUAUAAACCAAUUUAAUAGGCAGAUGUAACAAAUAAUUAUUCUUGCUGCACUGUAUGCAAAUAACUGUCAAGUAUAGUAAAGCAAACCAGUCCUAUUAUAAUUUGUCUUUUAAUAAAAAUGGGAAACUGGAGAGACAAAAUUAUGUUUCAAAAAUGAUAGCACAUGGAUUGUUGAAUUCUAGUGUUUCCUAAUGUUUUUCUAUUUUUAUUAUUUUCCACUGCUUAAAUUAAACUCUAAUUUUUCUGGAUAUAAGUUUCCAUAUUAAGCUGUGAUUUCUUAAAGCCCUACAAACUGAAAAGUAAGUGUUUCAUCAAGUACUGCCUCUAACACAGGGCCACCACAGGAAUAAAUGUCUUCACUGCUGGUGCUGACAACUAAUAACUGAGGGUGCUGAGAAAACUUUCCCCCAAAGUCUAGUGAGUCCAUGAAAUGCAGGGUGAUUAAGAUGAUAUCUGAUACAGGAGUCAAUUCCUAAAUACAUCACUCAAGUCAAAGCCUAGAAAUCUAAGAAAGCAACCCAAACAGCCCAAAGAAACACCCUAAAUAUCAAUGUAAAAAAAUAGAAAAUAUUAAGCUGAAAAUCAUAAAAGAUAGGUGACUAAGUGAAAACUACUCAUUUUAUUCAGCCUCACACACCUCACCAAAUACUUUUGGUGUGUCUACCUCUUUUUUUAAGCCAAAUAUUAAAACAUUUUAAUGGAAAUUAUUUACUUUGCCACCCUUGUGGGAACUGCCUUACUCACUGCUAUUUGCAGUAGAACAAUAUGCUAUAGCAUCCUCAGGGUGGAAUAUCAGACAAAAAAAUCUCAAUUAUUAUAGCAUUUUCCCUAAUUAUUAUCCAGAUAGCAGGAAUAAUAGUUACUAAAAGAAAGUAACACAUGAGUUCUUCCAAACACAUGCUUCUGCCUCUCAUCAGGUAACAAAUGUUUCUAUAGCAACGAAUAGGGCUUAGUAAAAAACACUGCUAAAAACUUAAAGAAAAGGCUAAAAAGCUAAGGGAAUAUCAAAACAACCGAAUAGAUUCUUGGUUUGGAUUCAAAAUCAUAGGAUGAGUCAUCCCAUUCCUGGGACCUCUUCUAAUAAUAUACCUGGAACUAAUGUUCUUACCUUGCCUAAUUAACUUUUUUCAAAGAUUUUUAACUGAAAAUAUCAUGGCCAUUUUACAGACAACUACCCCAAAAUAUCUACAAAUGACAUUGCUCCUACAGUAAACCCAAGACCAGAAAACUCUCCAUCCCCUUGUCAGCAGGAAGUAGCCUGCAGUCCCUCCUCCUUUUUAUAACCAUAGGAUCUGGAUUGACAGAGCAGGACCACCACCUUGUUGGAACAACCCCUCAUUCUAAAGCUGACCUCAAUAAAAAACUGCUUAAAUCCAAAGGGUGUCAGCCUAAUGGCUAAGGUCAGCAUGACCAUAAACCACAGAUAACUUCUCUAACCAGAAACAUUCCAAACUCCUCCCCAACCAGAGAUAGGGUAGUCCUGAGAUAAACUCUGCUCUGGCUGGGAAAAUGCUAGCCCUGAGAUAACCCCCUUCUUGGUCAGAAAGAUGUCUGCCCCAAGAUAACCUUACCUCCUGCCAGAGAGAUUCCAACUCCGCUAUAAACUUCUCCACACACAUAAACAUUCCAAGCUUGUGAUAAGCCCCCUCAACCUAAAAGUGAUAUAUACUCAGCUUUUAAGAGAAAGUACUCCUGACUGAAAUUGGCCAGAAGCACCUCUCAGGUUUCCUCUAAAGAAAACCUGUCUUUACCUGCCAGCCGCAUUUCUUGUUUCUUUCCUCUUUAACUCCUACAGAAAUAAAAGCACAACAAGGUUUUCUUAAGAUUUCAAUGUGCUUUUUAGAAAAUCUUGUGAAGAGUUAUAAAAGGUACAUGAAAAUCUCACAUCAUGAUCAAACUGGUUAAAAUUGAAUAGGAUUACCUAUAAGCUUUCAUUAAAAAUUGGGGUUAACCAUUAAUAGUAAAAUAAUGCAAGGGUGAAAUUUAACUUGCUUGAACAGGGUUUUCAUGUAAUAGUAAAGACUGAUGAAUGGUUUUUGGCUUUUCAAAUUUUGACUCAUCAUUUUGGCAAGACAAAUAACUAUGUUAAUCUAAAAUUGUAUUUCAUAACAUCAAGUGUUUUAAAUUUCAAAUAUAUUUAACAGGCUUACCAAAAUCAAACUACAGUCUCAAGGUUGUCUUUCAUGACCUAGGGGUUUGGGUGCUACCGAGGACCCCUGGAGCAUCCAGAAGAGAGUUAAACAGGAUUAUUUAACAUGUUUGCAUACAUGAUGUCAGGCCUCUGAGCCCAAGCUAAGCCAUUAUAUUCCCUGUGACAUGAACGUAUACAUCCAGAUGGCUGAAAACAACUGAAGAUCCACAAAAGAAGUGAAAAUAGCCUUAACUGAUGACAUUCCAUGAUUGUGAAGUUUCUACCCCACCCUAACCGAUCAAUGUACUUUGUAAUCUCCCCCACCAUUAAGAAGGUUCUUUGUAAUUCUCCCGACCCCUGAGAAUAUACUUUGUGAGAUCCACCCACUGCCCACAAAACAUUUCUCCUAACUCCACCGUCUAUCCCAAAAGCUAUAAGAACUAAUGAUAAUUCCACCACCCUUUGCUGACUCUCUUUUUGGACUCAGCUCACCUGCACCCUGGUGAAAUAAACAGCCUGUUGCUCACACAAAGCUUGUUUGGUGACCUCUUCACAUGGAUGUAUGAGACACAUGCAAUUGCCAAAAUGAUAUUUAAUAUUUUCCAGGUUAUAUUUUGGGCAAUAAUAUUAACAUAUAUUUCAAAAUCAUAUAGGAUUUCUAAGGUUCUAGUAUCUGAACAUGUGCUAUUAAUCACAAUUAAGUGUGUUAAGUUGGUUUAUGGUGAACCAUAAAAAUAACCAAAUUUGUCCAACAUGUUCUUGACUGUAACUACCCUGGAAAUUUUGUCAUUUACUGACAAUUUUUGUCUUGUUUCAAUCUUCUUCUUCUUAAAAAAAAAUAGAUUAUAAUCAGCUGUAGAACUUUAACAGGGAUUCUUUCAAAUGCUGGUUUCUAAUAACAGAAAAACUUACAGGACACAUGAAAAGUAGAAACUGAACUAGUAGAAAACUAAAGCAAUAUUCUUGACUUAUGCUUGGAACAUUGCUGAUUCUUAUUUUGUUUUUCAGAGUCAAGGACACUUGUCUUGAGCUAGCUACACCCUUUCACAACUCAGUAAGGAGUGAAGACUGAUUUUGCAGAGCCAAUAAAGGCCCCUGGGGAAACUGGCCUCAUAUCUUGUCAUGAAGAUUUUAUACAGGUUUCCUAACCUGUGUGCUCACUGCUGCAAAGAAGAACAAGCACACAGGCAAAAAGUUUUCCCAGCAAGAAUGCCAGGGUGAAAGGAAAGAUCAAUUGGACCAGAGCACAAGUGCUGCUCCAGUUACUUGGCAGAGUACCUAAUAGUGAUCCACCACAAUACCACCAUAUAUCUGUUUGGGAAUAAACAAGGGCAAGUUGACUGCUUAAGAGUGAUGACAUGCAACUCAGUCUCUUGCAACACCACCUGAGAAAAGGAAGCACUAGCAGGAAGAACAAAUUGAUGGAGAGGAAAAGUGAUGAAUACAGAUAAGAAGCACAGCUGGUGGAGGCUCAUGUGCCAGUUUACUGGGCCUCAGGACAUUCUCCUCUAGAAGGAGGAGACAGCAUGACCCCCACUUUCUUUUAUUUUAUUAUAAUUUAAGUUUUAGGGUACAUGAGCACAAUGUGCAGGUUAGUUACAUAUGU
Molecule: long non-coding RNA, 4275 nt
Filed under: Homo sapiens (human)
Lineage: Eukaryota; Metazoa; Chordata; Mammalia; Primates; Hominidae
Description: HSALNT0409532
Source: RNAcentral